CCUGUGGGACCCCACAAUUGAGGCUCCACGGGGCCGAGACAUUCUCCCCAAGCUGUACUCUCUGGGGGCGGUCCUCUAAGAAGGAACAGAGCCAGGCGAGAGCCUGGCCACCUAUUCCCAACUCGGUGAGCCUCCCCAGGAGGAUACCGUGGUCAAUGGUAUCGAAGGCCGCUGAGAUAUCGAGGAGGACCAGCAGAGACAUUUUGCCCCUGUUGGCCUCCCUCAAUAGGUCAUCACACAGGGCGACCAAUGCCGUUUCUGUUCCAUGGCGCGGCCUGAAGCCCGACUGGAAUGGAUCCAGGGCAUCUGUUUCAUCCAGGAACGCCUGAAGCUGAUCGGCCACCACCCUCUCGACUACCUUGCUUAAGAAAUUGCCAAUUUCGUCCCCCGGGCCAAUUCCGGAUAGGUCGCGUACUGCACAGAACUCCUGAACGUUUCUAACAUGCCCUUUGGAUUCAUGUCUGGUCUCAGAUAACUGAUCUCAUCAGAGCUUGACAGAACCUUCACCAUCCCCCCCCCGCUCUGAGAUGUUCAGGUGCUAAUGAACCAGAAUUCCCAUCAUCCUGGAUCGUUGGCUAUGCUGAUUGGAAGUGGGAAUUGGAGUCCAACAGCAUGUGGAAAACCACACAUCCCACACCUUGUUUUACACUAUAGUCUUCAAUCGCUCCAAGCAGAAGACCACUGCAACAAUGCAAUGUUGCUGCUCUGCCUGGUCUGGUGCCCUCACUGAAAGCCUCUGAGCAAGAGAAUGAAACUCACUUAAUGUGCAUUUUAGUAACUGUUAACAUACGCCAUUACCUUGGAGAUUUUGCUCAAUGCAUGGCCCUCCUCAUGUUACUACUUCCAGGACAAAAACCCUUAAUGCGUGUGACAUGACUGAAUCCUGCUGUGAGCAUUUGCAAAUAUGUGUUGGCCAAUGUUUAGAUGUGUGGGUGUGCCUAAAUGUAUACAAGUGGAUUUGUGCAUUUGAUUUGCACAUCAAAUACCAAAGCAGAUGACAUCAGUGGCCUGAUCAAGGUAGUGCUCAGCACAACCCACCUACCUUGUCUUUUGGACAGUGACCAACACCAGAGGUUGGUUUGUAAGUCACUGCAGGCAUUUCUGUGAAUAUCACUUUGUUUUAGGUGAUGGGGACAGUAUGGAGAAUCUCUUGCCUGAUCUCACAUGGUCCCUGUUCCUGAUGUCCAUCUGCAUAGCUGGGACAUUGGUAAAGAGUGGAGUAUUGCAUGUAAAUUUGUACACACAAGUUGAAACCCUGCACUACAUGCAAAGCCCUGUCCCUGCUCAUACCUUUAGGUAAGCAAACAAUGUGAAAAGAGGGCUCAUAGGUGUACUUGUCUGUACAUGGAAUUCAUUGUCACAUUUUUAGCACAGAGAGUCUUUGCUCUUGUCCCAUGUGGUCUAGCGACCAGAAUGCUGGACUAGGAUGGGGGAGACUCAGAUUGAAACCCCCACUGAGCCAUGAAGUCACAUGACCUUGAGGUGAACACUUUAAUCCAGGGGUGAUAAUUCCACCAGACACAUUAGACCGCUCUCGCAUUCUGUUGGCUACACACUGGUGCCACCACUGCAGCAGCAAACGUGUUCUGGUGUUGCUGACUUCGUCCCUUUGUUUUCAAAAAAAAAAGUGUGUUCCUCUCCUCUGUAAUGGGAAACCUUGGGUUUCUACUUCACCUGGUGUUGCUGACUUCGUCCCUUUGUUUUUUAAAAAAUGUGCGUUCCUCUCCUCU
Long non-coding RNA from Pogona vitticeps (central bearded dragon), 1730 nucleotides. The record is from Ensembl. Lineage: Eukaryota; Metazoa; Chordata; Lepidosauria; Squamata; Agamidae.